GUGCUCACCUCAGCAGCACAUAUACUAAAAUUGGAAUGAUACAGAGAAGAUUAGCAUGGCCCUGUACAAGGCUGACAAUGCAAAUUCGUGAAGCAUUCCAUAUUUUG
Small nuclear RNA from Phacochoerus africanus (Common warthog), 107 nucleotides. The record is from RefSeq and is a predicted model, not a curated record. Lineage: Eukaryota; Metazoa; Chordata; Mammalia; Artiodactyla; Suidae.